ACACUGAUGGAAGCCAAGAAGGUCCUGCUACCAUUUAGUCUUCCUAAAAUGGCAAGGCAAUUCUUGACAUUGUCUUUUCUUGUUCACGCAUUGUCUUACGCCGCCGUUGUGUUUACAGUUGGCGUCUUUGUCCUGAUUCCGGCAGAUCUCGCCAGUGACCGUGGCCUUAAUCCUUCGAAUGUUGUUUAUUUCCUGCAAGCUUUCUCCGCAGCGGACAUCGCCUUCAGAUCGGUAGUGGGCAUCGCCAUUGAUUCGCGUACCUUAUCAUAUGAAUCGAUCAUGCUACUCGGGUUCGCAGUGCAGGGACUCACUUACGAGUGGCUCGUCUGGGCGAAUACACUACCGCAAAUGAUUACCGCUUCCGCCUUCGUGGGUGCCACGUAUGGGUCAAGAUCGUGCCUCCUGGCACCCGCCUUGGUCAAGGACUUCGGCAUCGGCACGUUGCCGGUGAUUAUGGGUGGUGUGUUCUUCUGCACAGGUGUAUCUCUUCUUCUCCGUCCACCACUGAUCGGAUACUUCAGAGACAGCUAUGGCGACUACACUGGACUACUACAUUUGAUGGCUGUUCUCAAUGCAUCCUUCAUGUGCAUUUGGACGUUCAAGUUGGUCACUAAGAGGAGAGCAAGGUCAAAUGUGUCAUCUCCACCUGCAC
This 652-nucleotide unclassified non-coding RNA is filed under the name Dermacentor andersoni. RNAcentral describes it as "monocarboxylate transporter 3-like". Lineage: Eukaryota; Metazoa; Arthropoda; Arachnida; Ixodida; Ixodidae. The record is from RNAcentral.